UUCCCAGUAGCGCAAUGGAUAGUGCGUCGGACUUCUAAUCCAAAGGUCGUGGGUUCGAAUUCCACCUGGGAUG
This 73-nucleotide transfer RNA is filed under the name Trichonephila clavata. It matches the Rfam family "tRNA". From Rfam's summary of the family: Transfer RNA (tRNA) molecules are approximately 80 nucleotides in length. Their secondary structure includes four short double-helical elements and three loops (D, anti-codon, and T loops). Further hydrogen bonds mediate the characteristic L-shaped molecular structure. tRNAs have two regions of fundamental functional importance: the anti-codon, which is responsible for specific mRNA codon recognition, and the 3' end, to which the tRNAs corresponding amino acid is attached (by aminoacyl-tRNA synthetases). tRNAs cope with the degeneracy of the genetic code in two manners: having more than one tRNA (with a specific anti-codon) for a particular amino acid; and 'wobble' base-pairing, i.e. permitting non-standard base-pairing at the 3rd anti-codon position. The record is from Rfam by way of RNAcentral. Lineage: Eukaryota; Metazoa; Arthropoda; Arachnida; Araneae; Nephilidae.